RNAcentral lists this ribosomal RNA (239 nucleotides) under uncultured bacterium. RNAcentral's name for it is "partial 16S ribosomal RNA". It matches the Rfam family "Bacterial small subunit ribosomal RNA", at positions 1261 to 1500 of the family's 1533-position model. The record is from RNAcentral.
GGUGGAGCGAAUCCCCAAAAGCAGUCUCAGUUCAGAUUGUAGGCUGAAACUCGCCUAUAUGAAGUCGGAAUUGCUAGUAAUCGCGGAUCAGCAUGCCGCGGUGAAUACGUUCCCGGGCCUUGUACACACCGCCCGUCACACCAUGAGAGUCGAUAACACCCGAAGCCUGUAGUCUAACCGUAAGGGGGACGCAGUCGAAGGUGGGAUUGAUAAUUAGGGUGAAGUCGUAACAAGGUAUC